GGACUGCAAUGUGCAAGAGCUGAGUUUAGCAGAACAUUCUGGAAAGUAUAGCCAUAGAGGGUGAUAGUCCCGUAUGCGAAAAACAAAGCUUAGCUAGCAGUAUCCUGAGUAGGGCGGGACACGAGGAAUCCUGUCUGAAUCCGGGUCGACCACGAUCCAACCCUAAAUACUAAUACCAGAUCGAUAGUGCACAAGUACCGUGAGGGAAAGGUGAAAAGAACUGAGGUGAUCAGAGUGAAAUAGAACCUGAAACCAUUUGCUUACAAUCAUUCAGAGCACUAUGUAGCAAUACAGUGUGAUGGACUGCCUUUUGCAUAAUGAGCCUGCGAGUUGUGGUGUCUGGCAAGGUUAAGCAAACGCGAAGCCGUAGCGAAAGCGAGUCUGAAUAGGGCGCUUAGUCAGAUGCUGCAGACCCGAAACGAAGUGAUCUAUCCAUGAGCAAGUUGAAGCUAGUGUAAGAACUAGUGGAGGACUGAACCCAUAGGCGUUGAAAAGCCCCGGGAUGACUUGUGGAUAGGGGUGAAAGGCCAAUCAAACUUCGUGAUAGCUGGUUCUCUCCGAAAUAUAUUUAGGUAUAGCGUUGUGUCGUAAUAUAAGGGGGUAGAGCACUGAAUGGGCUAGGGCAUACACCAAUGUACCAAACCCUAUCAAACUCCGAAUACCUUAUAUGUAAUCACAGCAGUCAGGCGGCGAGUGAUAAAAUCCGUCGUCAAGAGGGAAACAACCCAGACUACCAGCUAAGGUCCCUAAAUCUUACUUAAGUGGAAAACGAUGUGAAGUUACUUAAACAACCAGGAGGUUGGCUUAGAAGCAGCCAUCCUUUAAAGAAAGCGUAAUAGCUCACUGGUCUAGUGAUUUUGCGCGGAAAAUAUAACGGGGCUAAAGUAAGUACCGAAGCUGUAGACUUAGUUUACUAAGUGGUAGGAGAGCGUUCUAUUUGCGUCGAAGGUAUACCGGUAAGGAGUGCUGGAGCGAAUAGAAGUGAGCAUGCAGGCAUGAGUAGCGAUAAUUAAUGUGAGAAUCAUUAACGCCGUAAACCCAAGGUUUCCUACGCGAUGCUCGUCAUCGUAGGGUUAGUCGGGUCCUAAGUCGAGUCCGAAAGGGGUAGACGAUGGCAAAUUGGUUAAUAUUCCAAUACCAACAUUAGUGUGCGAUGGAAGGACGCUUAGGGCUAAGGGGGCUAGCGGAUGGAAGUGCUAGUCUAAGGUCGUAGGAGGUUGUACAGGCAAAUCCGUAUAACAAUACUCCGAGAACUGAAAGGCUUUUUGAAGUCUUCGGAUGGAUAGAAGAACCCCUGAUGCUGUCGAGCCAAGAAAAGUUUCUAAGUUUAGCUAAUGUUGCCCGUACCGUAAACCGACACAGGUGGGUGGGAUGAGUAUUCUAAGGCGCGUGGAAGAACUCUCUUUAAGGAACUCUGCAAAAUAGCACCGUAUCUUCGGUAUAAGGUGUGGUUAGCUUUGUAUUAGGAUUUACUCCGAAAGCAAGGAAACUUACAACAAAGAGUCCCUCCCGACUGUUUACCAAAAACACAGCACUCUGCUAACUCGUAAGAGGAUGUAUAGGGUGUGACGCCUGCCCGGUGCUCGAAGGUUAAUUGAUGGGGUUAGCAUUAGCGAAGCUCUUGAUCGAAGCCCGAGUAAACGGCGGCCGUAACUAUAACGGUCCUAAGGUAGCGAAAUUCCUUGUCGGUUAAAUACCGACCUGCAUGAAUGGCGUAACGAGAUGGGAGCUGUCUCAAAGAGGGAUCCAGUGAAAUUGUAGUGGAGGUGAAAAUUCCUCCUACCCGCGGCAAGACGGAAAGACCCCGUGGACCUUUACUACAGCUUGACACUGCUACUUGGAUAAGAAUGUGCAGGAUAGGUGGGAGGCUUUGAGUAUAUGACGCCAGUUGUAUAUGAGCCAUUGUUGAGAUACCACUCUUUCUUAUUUGGGUAGCUAACCAGCUUGAGUUAUCCUCAAGUGGGACAAUGUCUGGUGGGUAGUUUGACUGGGGCGGUCGCCUCCCAAAUAAUAACGGAGGCUUACAAAGGUUGGCUCAGAACGGUUGGAAAUCGUUCGUAGAGUAUAAAGGUAUAAGCCAGCUUAACUGCAAGACAUACAAGUCAAGCAGAGACGAAAGUCGGUCUUAGUGAUCCGGUGGUUCUGUGUGGAAGGGCCAUCGCUCAAAGGAUAAAAGGUACCCCGGGGAUAACAGGCUGAUCUCCCCCAAGAGCUCACAUCGACGGGGAGGUUUGGCACCUCGAUGUCGGCUCAUCGCAUCCUGGGGCUGGAGCAG
This 2275-nucleotide ribosomal RNA is filed under the name Campylobacter jejuni. RNAcentral describes it as "partial 23S ribosomal RNA". It matches the Rfam family "Bacterial large subunit ribosomal RNA", at positions 303 to 2561 of the family's 2925-position model. The record is from RNAcentral. Lineage: Bacteria; Pseudomonadati; Campylobacterota; Epsilonproteobacteria; Campylobacterales; Campylobacteraceae.